GGAAGUUUUCGGAUGGAAUUCAUAUUGACUGAGUGGCGGACGGGUGAGUAACGCGUGGGUAACCUGCCUCAUACAGGGGGAUAACAGUUAGAAAUGACUGCUAAUACCGCAUAAGCGCACAGAAUCGCAUGAUUCGGUGUGAAAAACUCCGGUGGUAUGAGAUGGACCCGCGUCUGAUUAGCUAGUUGGUGGGGUAAAGGCCUACCAAGGCGACGAUCAGUAGCCGACCUGAGAGGGUGAUCGGCCACAUUGGGACUGAGACACGGCCCAAACUCCUACGGGAGGCAGCAGUGGGGAAUAUUGCACAAUGGGGGAAACCCUGAUGCAGCAACGCCGCGUGAGCGAAGAAGUAUUUCGAUAUGUAAAGCUCUAUCAGCAGGGAAGAAGAUGACGGUACCUGAGUAAGAAGCCCCGGCUAACUACGUGCCAGCAGCCGCGGUAAUACGUAGGGGGCAAGCGUUAUCCGGAUUUACUGGGUGUAAAGGGAGCGUAGACGGCAUAGCAAGUCUGAAGUGAAAGCCCAAGGCUCAACCAUGGGACUGCUUUGGAAACUGUUAAGCUAGAGUGCUGGAGAGGUAAGCGGAAUUCCUAGUGUAGCGGUGAAAUGCGUAGAUAUUAGGAAGAACACCAGUGGCGAAGGCGGCUUACUGGACAGUAACUGACGUUGAGGCUCGAAAGCGUGGGGAGCAAACAAGAUUAGAUACCCUGGUAGUCCACGCCGUAAAACGAUGAAUGCUAG
RNAcentral lists this ribosomal RNA (739 nucleotides) under uncultured bacterium. RNAcentral describes it as "bacterial SSU rRNA". It matches the Rfam family "Bacterial small subunit ribosomal RNA", at positions 69 to 819 of the family's 1533-position model. The record is from RNAcentral.